This 406-nucleotide ribosomal RNA is filed under the name uncultured bacterium. RNAcentral describes it as "partial 16S ribosomal RNA". It matches the Rfam family "Bacterial small subunit ribosomal RNA", at positions 30 to 526 of the family's 1533-position model. The record is from RNAcentral.
AUUGAACGCUGGCGGCAGGCCUAACACAUGCAAGUCGAACGAGUGGCGGACGGGUGCGUAAUGUCUGGGAAACUGCCUGAUGGAGGGGGAUAACUACUGGAAACGGUAGCUAAUACCGCAUACCAUCAGAUGUGCCCAGGUGGGAUUAGCGUGUUGGUGGGGUAACGGCGCACCAAGGCGACGAUCCCUAGCUGGUCUGAGAGGAUGACCAGCCACAUGGGAACUGAGACACGGUCCAUACGCCUACGGGAGGCAGCAGUGGGGAAUAGUGCACAAUGGGCGCAAGCCUGAUGCAGCCAUGCCGCGUGUAUUAAGAAGGCCUUCGGGGUGUAAAGUACUUUCAGCGGGGCGGCGUUACCCGCAGAAGAAGCACCGGCUAACUCCGUGCCAGCAGCCGCGGUAAUUC